CGGGGAGGUAGUGACGAAAAAUAACGAUACGGGACUCAUCCGAGGCCCCGUAAUCGGAAUGAGUACACUUUAAAUCCUUUAACGAGGACCAAUUGGAGGGCAAGUCUGGUGCCAGCAGCCGCGGUAAUUCCAGCUCCAAUAGCGUAUAUUAAAGUUGUUGCGGUUAAAAAGCUCGUAGUUGAAUCUGUGUGUCACAGUGUCGGUUCACCGCUCGCGGUGUUUAACUGGCAUUAUGUGGUACGUCCUACCGGUGGGCUUAGCGCUCGGUUUUCGGGCCGGGCGCGGUCCAAUUUAAUUUACCCAUCGCGGUGCUCUUCAUUGAGUGUCGAGGUGGGCCGGUACGUUUACUUUGAACAAAUUAGAGUGCUCAAAGCAGGCUACUCUCGCCUGAAUACUCUGUGCAUGGAAUAAUGGAAUAGGACCUCGGUUCUAUUUUGUUGGUUUUCGGAACCCCGAGGUAAUGAUUAAUAGGGACAGAUGGGGGCAUUCGUAUUGCGACGUUAGAGGUGAAAUUCUUGGAUCGUCGCAAGACGGACUAAAGCGAAAGCAUUUGCCAAAAAUGUUUUCAUUAAUCAAGAACGAAAGUUAGAGGUUCGAAGGCGAUCAGAUACCGCCCUAGUUCUAACCAUAAACGAUGCCAGCUAGCGAUCCGCCGAAGUUCCUCCGAUGACUCGGCGGGCAGCUUCCGGGAAACCAAAGCUUUUGGGUUCCGGGGGAAGUAUGGUUGCAAAGCUGAAACUUAAAGGAAUUGACGGAAGGGCACCACCAGGAGUGGAGCCUGCGGCUUAAUUUGACUC
This 797-nucleotide ribosomal RNA is filed under the name Ceratina calcarata. Its description in RNAcentral is "SSU rRNA". It matches the Rfam family "Eukaryotic small subunit ribosomal RNA", at positions 457 to 1201 of the family's 1831-position model. Lineage: Eukaryota; Metazoa; Arthropoda; Insecta; Hymenoptera; Apidae. The record is from RNAcentral.